GACGAACGCUGGCGGCGUGCUUAACACAUGCAAGUCGAGCGGUAAGGCCCUUUCGGGGGUACACGAGCGGCGAACGGGUGAGUAACACGUGGGCGACCUGCCCUUAGCUCUGGGAUAAGCCUGGGAAACUGGGUCUAAUACCGGAUAUGACUCCAUGACGCAUGUUGUGGGGUGGAAAGCCUUGUGCGGCUAGGGAUGGGCCCGCGGCCUAUCAGCUUGUUGGUGGGGUGAUGGCCUACCAAGGCGACGACGGGUAGCCGGCCUGAGAGGGCGACCGGCCACACUGGGACUGAGACACGGCCCAGACUCCUACGGGAGGCAGCAGUGGGGAAUCUUGCGCAAUGGGCGAAAGCCUGACGCAGCGACGCCGCGUGAGGGAU
This 380-nucleotide ribosomal RNA is filed under the name uncultured bacterium. RNAcentral describes it as "bacterial SSU rRNA". It matches the Rfam family "Bacterial small subunit ribosomal RNA", at positions 28 to 409 of the family's 1533-position model. The record is from RNAcentral.